RNAcentral lists this ribosomal RNA (157 nucleotides) under Klebsiella pneumoniae. RNAcentral describes it as "partial 16S ribosomal RNA". It matches the Rfam family "Bacterial small subunit ribosomal RNA", at positions 1 to 149 of the family's 1533-position model. The record is from RNAcentral. Lineage: Bacteria; Pseudomonadati; Pseudomonadota; Gammaproteobacteria; Enterobacterales; Enterobacteriaceae.
ACUUAAAUUGAAGAGUUUGAUCAUGGCUCAGAUUGAACGCUGGCGGCAGGCCUAACACAUGCAAGUCGAGCGGUAGCACAGAGAGCUUGCUCUCGGGUGACGAGCGGCGGACGGGUGAGUAAUGUCUGGGAAACUGCCUGAUGGAGGGGGAUAACUA